RNAcentral lists this ribosomal RNA (548 nucleotides) under uncultured Glomeromycotina. RNAcentral describes it as "SSU rRNA". It matches the Rfam family "Eukaryotic small subunit ribosomal RNA", at positions 548 to 1097 of the family's 1831-position model. The record is from RNAcentral. Lineage: Eukaryota; Fungi; Glomeromycota.
UUGGAGGGCAAGUCUGGUGCCAGCAGCCGCGGUAAUUCCAGCUCCAAUAGCGUAUAUUAAAGUUGUUGCAGUUAAAAAGCUCGUAGUUGAAUUUCGGGGUUAGUAGGUUGGUCAUGCCUCAGGUAUGUACUGAUCUCACUGAUUCCUCCUUCCUGAUGAACCGUAAUGCCAUUAAUUUGGUGUUGCGGGGAAACUGGACUGUUACUUUGAAAAAAUUAGAGUGUUUAAAGCAGGCUAACGCUUGAAUACAUUAGCAUGGAAUAAUGAAAUAGGACGUUCGAUCCUAUUUUGUUGGUUUCUAGGAUUGACGUAAUGAUUAAUAGGGAUAGUUGGGGGCAUUAGUAUUCAAUUGUCAGAGGUGAAAUUCUUGGAUUUAUUGAAGACUAACUACUGCGAAAGCAUUUGCCAAGGAUGUUUUCAUUAAUCAAGAACGAAAGUUAGGGGAUCGAAGACGAUCAGAUACCGUCGUAGUCUUAACCAUAAACUAUGCCGACUAGGGAUCGGAUGAUGUUAAUUUUUUAAUGACUCAUUCGGCGCCUUACGGGAAA